AUGUACGCUUACAUGUAAUACAUGAUAGACUCGAUCAAUACCUGUAAUGUCUUCAUAAGAACUAUAAGACGAUGGAUUUAAAAUUUAAGCCAUGAGAAUUUUACUUAUUCUGAAUAUGAGAACUUGAUUAUUUCCUACAAAAAAGAUGGAUAUACCACUGUUUCUCUAUUCAUUUGAUAAUUUAUACCAGCCUGGAGAUAUCUAUGACUUAGGAGUCCAAGCGCAAUACGGUUUUGUCUGUAGAUUGAUCUGUAAAAUUUUCUCAGGCAGAAAUAUAGCAAUAGCAACUCUUCUUGGGACAAGUGCUUUCCAUCGGCUAUGGUGCAGAAUGAUUACAACCACUAAGAAGGUUUUUUGCAUCCAAACUUCAAAGAAAUCUAUCCGUUUGUUCGAGAAGCAAAGAAUUUCCAGAAUAUGCAUUACAAAGCUUAGAUCCAAAGGAUUCUCCCAAACUAUAUUCUCUAAUCCUGGUUGUUUGUUACGCUUCCUCCCGACUGAAGGACGAAAUUGAUACAUCAUUAGAAAACAUUUCAUAUAAAGGAAAAAUAAUGCUGAUCAUAAUACAUUCUUGUGAACCGACUCAAAGGCCAACGAAAAUUCUGGACAGGUGCUCGGACAGAAGAGUCAGAUCUUUUACAACUCUUCUGAUAUGGAACGGUGUAUUUUAUCCUUGUCCCAGGAACAAGGACGCUAAAAAGACCAUUAUGUCUUAUCUAAAAGGGUAAUAGACACGGUAGGACACACUGAAAUUGACUACUUUUCUUUAUCCCCUGGAAAGAUAUAGUAACUGGCUUGUGAAUGUGUGAAUUGAUGUGUCCUUAUAUGCGAAACAAAAGUGACUUUGUCACUGAAGCUCACCUGAGCCGAAGGCUCAAGUGAGCUUUUGUGAUCAAAUUUUGUCUGUCGCCCGUCUGUCUAGCUGUUCAUCCGUCCGUCUGUACACUUUUCAUAUUUUCAACUUCUUUUCAAGAACCAAUGGGGCAAUUUUAACGAAACUAGAUACAAAUUCGUCUCAGGUGAAAGGAAAUUUAAAUUUUGAAAAUGAAGGACAUUUCUCAAGGGGAGAUAUUAAAAAACAAAAACAAAAAGAGGUUGGAGUCAUUAAAUUUUUUUCUCAAGAACCACUGGUCCACAAAAUAUGAAAAUUAUGUGAAAUGAUCCUUUGGGUAGUGUAGAUUUUAAAUUGUAUGAAUCAUAACCCCGGGAGUAGGGCGGAGUCAUUAAAGGGAAUCUAAGUUUUACGUUGAAGUAUAUUGGAAAAAAACUUUUAAAAUCUUCUAAAGAACACUUUGGCAGAAAAGCUGACUCUUAUGUGGAAGCAUCCUUUGGUAUAGUGUUAAUUUUAAAUUAUUCGAAUCAUGACCCACUGGGUAGGGCGGGGCUACUAUUGGGAACCAAAGUUUUACAUUUAAUAAUUUAGGGGAAAAAGAUGAAACUUAUGUCGAGGCAUCCUGGGGUAGUGUAAAUUCUUAUUUGUUUGAAUUAUGAUCCUUUUGGAGUGUCAAGGUCAAGUUAGAUGUUAAAAAGGGGGAGAUCUUUUAAAUGGCAGAAUGGCUUAAGUUACUCAGGUGAGCAUUGUGGUCCAUGGGCCUCGUUUUUUUUAUAUUGUUGAAUGUUAUUUUGAAUUAUAGAUACAUGUGUUCUCUUUUGCAAGAGAAUGCUCCGCAAUCAAUGGCUCUUGUUAUCGACAUUUUUUUUUUCAUUUUUUAACCA
This is an RNA transcript of Saccostrea cuccullata (small rock oyster), 1713 nucleotides long. RefSeq lists it as uncharacterized. The transcript has 6 exons. The record is from RefSeq and is a predicted model, not a curated record. NCBI's taxonomy places the organism in Eukaryota, Metazoa, Mollusca, Bivalvia, Ostreida, Ostreidae.